This 470-nucleotide ribosomal RNA is filed under the name uncultured bacterium. Its description in RNAcentral is "bacterial SSU rRNA". It matches the Rfam family "Bacterial small subunit ribosomal RNA", at positions 34 to 518 of the family's 1533-position model. The record is from RNAcentral.
CGCUGGCGGCGUGCCUAACACAUGCAAGUCGAGCGAGGAGAUCCUCGGGAUGAUCCUAGCGGCGGACGGGUGAGUAACACGUGGACAAUCUGCCCCCCGGCCCGGGAUAGCCCAGGGAAACCUGGAUUAAUACCGGAUGAGACGGGACCCGCGAUGGCGGGAUCCGGGAAAGGCGCUGCGGCGCCGCCGGGGGAUGAGUCUGCGUCCCAUUAGCUAGACGGCGGGGUAACGGCCCACCGUGGCGACGAUGGGUAGCCGACCUGAGAGGGUGAUCGGCCACAUUGGGACUGAGACACGGCCCAGACUCCUACGGGAGGCAGCAGUGGGGAAUAUUGCACAAUGGGGGAAACCCUGAUGCCAGCAACGCCGCGUGAGUGAUGACGGCCUUCGGGUUGUAAAGCUCUGUCCUCAGGGACGAUAAUGACGGUACCUGAGGAGGAAGCCACGGCUAACUACGUGCCAGCCGCCGC